RNAcentral lists this ribosomal RNA (253 nucleotides) under uncultured bacterium. Its description in RNAcentral is "partial 16S ribosomal RNA". It matches the Rfam family "Bacterial small subunit ribosomal RNA", at positions 524 to 776 of the family's 1533-position model. The record is from RNAcentral.
UACGUAGGUGGCUAGCGUUGUCCGGAUUUACUGGGCGUAAAGAGCGCGCAGGCGGUCGUUCAAGUCGAGUGUGAAAGCCCCCGGCUCAACUGGGGAGGGUCACUCGAUACUGAUCGACUUGAAGGCAGGAGAGGGAAGCGGAAUUCCCGGUGUAGUGGUGAAAUGCGUAGAUAUCGGGAGGAACACCAGUGGCGAAGGCGGCUUUCUGGCCUGUUCUUGACGCUGAGGCGCGAAAGCUAGGGUAGCAAACGGG